GGCUCGGUAGCUUAGUUUGUAAAGCGCUCAUCUAGCAUACAAGAAUCCUGGGCUCAAAUCCAAGCCGAGCAC
RNAcentral lists this transfer RNA (72 nucleotides) under Aedes aegypti (yellow fever mosquito). It matches the Rfam family "tRNA". Rfam says of the family: Transfer RNA (tRNA) molecules are approximately 80 nucleotides in length. Their secondary structure includes four short double-helical elements and three loops (D, anti-codon, and T loops). Further hydrogen bonds mediate the characteristic L-shaped molecular structure. tRNAs have two regions of fundamental functional importance: the anti-codon, which is responsible for specific mRNA codon recognition, and the 3' end, to which the tRNAs corresponding amino acid is attached (by aminoacyl-tRNA synthetases). tRNAs cope with the degeneracy of the genetic code in two manners: having more than one tRNA (with a specific anti-codon) for a particular amino acid; and 'wobble' base-pairing, i.e. permitting non-standard base-pairing at the 3rd anti-codon position. The record is from Rfam by way of RNAcentral. Lineage: Eukaryota; Metazoa; Arthropoda; Insecta; Diptera; Culicidae.